Non-coding RNA from Rattus norvegicus (Norway rat), 3339 nucleotides. The record is from RefSeq and is a predicted model, not a curated record. NCBI's taxonomy places the organism in Eukaryota, Metazoa, Chordata, Mammalia, Rodentia, Muridae.
AAUUGCCAACUAUUAGUUAUCCACACAUUGUAUGCCAAUUCUGUUGAUUGCUUUAGAAACAGCAAGUGAAUAGUCCAGUCGUCGGGGGUAGCUUCUUGGAGUUUCCUGUGUAGAGAAAUUUAAAGAAUAAUUUUUAGGGUGGCAAAUAGUAUUACAUAUGGUAGAUAGAGAGAUAUAAUUGAUAGGGUCUCACUGUUAGGAUCAAGAUUAUAACUCCAACAGGCAGGAAAUAUUAAAAUAAACCAGCACAAAACAAGCCAGGCAGCAUUUUAUCCUCUAGAAAAUACUGGGACACACUUAAUAAAGUUUAGGUGGUAAUAGAAGUAAUUAGCAUGGGAAAUUGUUUAUACAGCUAUUUAGAUUUUAUGUUGGCCUUUAACAGUUUGAAUAUUUAUAGGCUUUUCUGCAAUUAAGUUAUAAAAUUUGAAAGAUAAGAAUGUCCUGAGAGAAGCCAGCAUUUAUUGAUUUUCAUUUUGUAAAAGUCACCCCACUGCCCAGGAAAUUCCUCUUAAUUCAUUUAAAUAAGUUCCUCUUGGUGUCUUACAUAUGGCAUCAUGUGAAAAACUUGCAUUUUUAUGUGUUUUUAUCAACAUUUGUAUUGGCAAACUUAGUAAUAUAAAUGUUAUCUAAAUAGGAAACCAUACGUUCUCACAGUAGAUUUACAUCUUUUAUAAAGGCAUUAGUAAUUUUAUAAAUAUAUGCAAUGAAGUAUGAUCAUAUCCACCCUAAAAUUUCCCUCUCUAACCCUGCCCAGAUAUCCCCCAACAUUUCUCACUCUCAAUUUCAUGAAAUCAUAUUUCUAUUUUAAUAAGCCACUAGGUCCAUUUAAUGCUUUCCUUACAGGCAUGUGUGUGGAUUCAUCCGCCCGAGCAUGAGCAACCUACUGGGGAUCGCCCGCCCAUAGAAAGCCACCUUUCCUUCCCCCAGCAGCUAUCAACUGCCAUUAUCUCCUUGGUUAGGGGUGGGGUCUCAUAAGCUCCUCCCAAAUCCAUGCUGUAAUUAUGUUAUGCUAUUCAUUUUGCAUUAUGAGAUUUAUUUAUUUAUUUAUUUAUUUAUUUAUUUACAGCUAAAUAUCAGCCCUUCUUCUCCUCCCAGUACCCUUUCAUGUAAGUCCUCCCCCCAUUCCCCUUAGAAGGGGACGCCCCCGGUGUCAACCCCCCCCCCAUACUAUUCUAACAUGAAUGAUGACACCUGUCAGGACACUUUCCUGAGAAAGAGGCUAGAAGCGUUUUGCUUUUAAAACUAGAAACAUUAAGUCUUGUAUCAUAAAACCUUGUAAAGUUAAAGACAAAUACAGUGUCCAUCUGUCCUUUAUACUACAAGGUGUAGAAUGAAUUCUGCCAAUGGUUCACUUUCCUUGGCAGGGAGAGCAAUGUGUGAUCAGGAUGAGGUGUGAGUCCCUCUAGAGCAUGAAGUCUUCUCCCAGGAAAUAGCCAGUUGUAGGAGUGAGCAUAAGAGACUGGCUCAACGAUCAGAAAACAAAAUUUAGAAUGUAUUUUCAUUCAGUAGUAAUGAUACCUAUUUUUUCAAGGAACAUGUAAAAAUACAUAAAAAAAUAAAAUGAAGAACAAGACCAGCUUAAUUACAAGGGCAGUUCUUUAUACUGGUAGCUGAAGACUUGAAACAAAAUAUUAUAGAAAAUGCAUAGAAUAUAGAGGUGCCUCAGAGGGUAAAAGCAUCUGUCACCAAGCCUGAGGAUUUGAGUUUAAAUCUCUGGGGUCCAGAUAGUGGAAAGAAAGAAGUUACUCUUACAACUUCUCCACAUGCAUGCAUGGUGCACAUAUACAUACACAGCAAAAUUAAAUAAUUAAAAAAAACCGAAAAUGCAUACAUUCUAUGUGACGUGACAAAGGUAAGGUAAAAUGUGAAUUACUUAAGUAAAUAAGUAGUUAAACUAGACCCAUAUGCUUCUACAAGGCCACAAUACUGGUCAAGUAAAACACUGUUACAUGAGAAGACUGGCAUCAGUAAACACCAGUCCCUGACCACCUUUGCUUCUCUCUUGAUGCUAAUAAGUUAUGAUGCGCCUCCAUUCAGGAGCUUUCUAUACAUAGGAUUUAGAAGCUGAUGCCCAGGAGAUUUUGCUGGUUCUUGCUUAGCUGCUAUGCCCCUGCCUGCCAGAGAUCAUUGUCCUCCAUUGCCAGUCGAGGGUGCCUAGGGUUUCGUGAGGCAUUUAGUGGGUAGGAGUACAAGUCAAUACCUUCACCAAGUGCCACCACUACUCAGUGGUGCUGGGAUUUGUUUCUACAUAUGUUGAACCCCACCCCCCACAAAUGACUGCAUAACAGAGUAUGCUGCAUUUAUUUCAUCUGUAGAAUGAUAAGUAGCCCAAGGAUUGAAUGCAAAUGUAUGUAUAUCACAUGUACUAGAGCACACGCAAUAGCCAAGAUCAUGAAUAGAUAAGAGUGCUAUUAUUUAUUUGCCAUCAAUUAUUGAUGAGAUCAGGGGGCUUUCAAUCUUGUUAAAGUAAAGCUAUUUGAUUUAGGUUGUGAAAAGUGUAUGGUAUGUAAUAAACGGGCAAGCAAUGAACUCCGAUGCUAUUAUUUGGGACUGCAUAAAUCUACAGAACCAUCUAGAGACUCACAUGAAUCAGUGCUAAUGCCAAGGCCUUAUAAAUCACAAGACUUACGGUACCUAAAGAUGCUACAUCAUCAGUCUAUUCUUCAGUUUUCCUUUCACCCAGUUACACCUAUCUCCCAUGUUUAGGGCUUUUUAAGGAUUUUGUGAGUUCCCAUGGAAACCUGAGUCAGGAAUGCGGCAUAACAAUUCACGGAUUCUGAAGGGCUUGUCUAUUUUACCUGGGUCACCUGUUUCAGGUAGACAAUGAACUUCUCUGGAACAGCACCCUUCCUUUGCUUUCUUGAGAACUAAAAAUCCAGAGCAAAAAAAGAGUCAGCAGAAGACUGUCUAGAUGACAGAAAGGCCAGCCACUAUGCAAUUAUUCGAGAGGAAGCUCCCAUUUUUACUGCAAUCUAUUGUUUUAUGAUCAGAUAGACAAUUUUGUUUAUAAUGGUGAAGUCCCCACUUUAAAAACAACAAGCAAAAACCAGGACAUUCCCCACACUAACUAGCAGAGAAGUGGACCACUCUUUCCCUGAAUAGAAGAUGUGAAUAAGAAUGGAUAUAGAAGAACCUACUAGAUAAAAAUGAAAAGUAAAGAAUAAAAGUCCCAGACAUCAGUCAAUAUAUCUCUGAUGACUACUGUGUUACUAGUGACAGGGACAGAUUUUUCUGGAAUUUUAGAUCUGUUAUACAAGAAACAGUAAAAUUGUACUAUUCUCUCUCUCUCUCUCUCUCUCUCUCUCUCUCUCUCUCUCUCUCUCUCUCUCUCUCUCUCUC